This 401-nucleotide unclassified non-coding RNA is filed under the name soil metagenome. RNAcentral's name for it is "partial contains 5.8S ribosomal RNA, internal transcribed spacer 2, and large subunit ribosomal RNA". The stretch from base 1 to 121 matches the Rfam family "5.8S ribosomal RNA", at positions 35 to 154 of the family's 154-position model. The record is from RNAcentral.
GAUGAAGAACGUAGUGAAAUGCGAUAAGUAAUGUGAAUUGCAGAAUUCAGUGAAUCAUCGAAUCUUUGAACGCACCUUGCGCCCUUUGGCCAUUCCGAAGGGCAUGCCUGUUUGAGUAUCAUGAACACCUCAACUCUCAUGGCUCGCCAUGAUGAGCUUGGAUUUGGGGGUCUUGCUGGCCUGUGGUCGGCUCCUCUCAAAUGGAUCAGCUUGCCAGUGUUUGGUGGCAUCACAGGUGUGAUAACUAUCUGCGCUUGUGGUUUUCCAUCAGAUAACCUUCAGUGAUGGAGGUUCGCUGGAGCUCAUAAACGUCUCCCCUAAGCGGGGACAGCCCUUUGAAUGUUUGAUCUCAAAUCAGGUAGGACUACCCGCUGAACUUAAGCAUAUCAAUAAGCGGAGGA